Molecule: long non-coding RNA, 733 nt
Filed under: Phoenix dactylifera (date palm)
Lineage: Eukaryota; Viridiplantae; Streptophyta; Magnoliopsida; Arecales; Arecaceae
Description: long non-coding RNA (PDAC_LNC007798)
Source: RNAcentral
ACUGAGUAUUUAUAUACUCAGUCCCCAAUUUGGUGUUUUUGAUUGCAGGGCAGGUAUUGUAUAGAGAAGAGCAGGGUUAGAGAUUGCCUGCUAGCUGUGUCGCUCCAUAGUAUAGUAUAGUAUAAUGUAGAUAGAGGUUUAUACCCUUUUGGUGUAUUAUAAACCUUCUGUUGUAUAUAGUAUAUAGUUACAGUCAUAGAUCCUGUUGUGGAUAUGGGUUUGACCAUGGAUGGAAUGGAAACCAGAUUUUUAUACAUAUGAGUUAUAUGCCUGAGAUAAUGUAUUGAUAUAUAUUAUCCAGGUUCAUUAUGUGACGGAUUAUGUGAUUGCUGCUCUGACAGGUAGUGUGUUGUAUGUAUUGAGAUAAUCCUGACAGGUCACUAUAGGAAAAGUGAUCAUUUUGUGCAUGCAUCAUGCCAAAUUUUUUCAGAAUUUAAUAAUGAUUGAUAGGUAAUAGGGUUCUACGUGGUGGCUGGUGGCCUUAUGCCUACCCGCACCCUAGGACCGUCGCGACGGCCCACCGGGAACGGGGCGAGGGUCGUGACAAAGCUUGGUAUCAGAGCAAAGGUUAAGAAGAGUCCUGUCAGAGCAAUAGGAUGAGUCAGGAUUAAGUAUAGGAUUAUACUAUGGAGCAUAGGGUUUUUCUGUAUGUUAUUUUAUGAGUUAUUUACAACUCAGUAAAAUAUAUCAUGACUCAGUGUGUAACGACUGUCCUCUCUUUUUGACUCUUUUA